This 106-nucleotide non-coding RNA is filed under the name Burkholderiales bacterium GJ-E10. Its description in RNAcentral is "TPP riboswitch aptamer (THI element)". It matches the Rfam family "TPP riboswitch aptamer (THI element)". From Rfam's summary of the family: Vitamin B(1) in its active form thiamin pyrophosphate (TPP) is an essential coenzyme that is synthesised by coupling of pyrimidine and thiazole moieties in bacteria. The previously detected thiamin-regulatory element, thi box was extended, resulting in a new, highly conserved RNA secondary structure, the THI element, which is widely distributed in eubacteria and also occurs in some archaea. Lineage: Bacteria; Pseudomonadati; Pseudomonadota; Betaproteobacteria; Burkholderiales. The record is from Rfam by way of RNAcentral. RNAcentral also lists the same sequence under 1 other name.
GGCGGCGCUCCGGGGUGCGCGCGUGGCGCGUUGAGAUGGGCGGAAUGCCCGAACCCGCGAACUUGAUCCGGUUCAUCCCGGCGUAAGAAGAGCGUCCUUCCUGCGC